Molecule: non-coding RNA, 1616 nt
Organism: Macaca mulatta (Rhesus monkey)
Lineage: Eukaryota; Metazoa; Chordata; Mammalia; Primates; Cercopithecidae
Source: RefSeq, a predicted model, not a curated record
AAAACAUUUUAUUUAAUUUUCAUGCUUUUUUAAUCAAAAAAGUUAAAAGAAUAAUAAUCUUUUAUGGGCAGUUAUAAAUGUGCUAUUUACACACAAGACAGAAAUAUCUCCCUUAGCUGAGCAAUCUAAGUGUGUGCUUAGAGAGGACUCCACAAGAAUACUAAUGAGAAAAGGCAGAAUAUGCUUGGAGACAACUUAAUUCAUUCUUCUGGGAAAUGUCUGUCUAGGUGGAGUGGGAUUCUCCAGGUUCAUUCCUCAGCCCUACCAGCCUCUGCAGAUGGGAGGGACUUGGCGGUGAGCACCUGGUAGUUGUAGGGCUGCUGUCUGGGCCAUCUUUCCAUCCCUGGAGCCUCACUUGGUGUCUGUCAUGUGGAAGGCAUGCAGGAAAUGUGUGUCGGAUAAGUGAGUAAACGGCUGAGUGAAGGAUUCUCCAUACUCUCCCUUGGCAGUCCAAGAUGAGAUCUGUACACAUUCUUUUUUUUUUUUUUUUUCCACAUUGCCAUUGGAGAUAGAAGCAGCAGACACAGCUGAGCUCCUGGCUUGGUGAAGGGCACACCAAGGGGAUGUGGGGUGCUGGGAUGUUUGCCAACUGUUUUUCACUUUUGUGAGAAUCAUUAUUUACCUAUUGCUUGAUUCAGAAUCCCAGACCUAGAAGGACUUUAGAAACUUGAAGUUCAGCUUUUUUACUUUACAAGAUGAAUGACAGUCAAAGUGAGGAAACUCCUUGAUAAAGGACAAAGCCAAGACUUGAAUCCCGGUAUCCUGCUCACUCCUAACUAGGAGUCUGGGGAUAAAACACUCUGGAAACCCAAGGAAACUGGACAAAGUCCUCUACAUCCAUGGGCCACACAUGUGGAUAAAGAGAGAUGCCAUCCUAUCUCUGCCUGGAAAGGAGACCCAGCCACACACACAGAACUGGUCUAGCUGAGGACUUCUGACAAACAUCUCCCCGUGGCAUUCACUUAUUCAUUCAUAGUUACCGAGUACCUACCAUGAGCCAAACACAAUGACAGCUGGAAAUUCAGAGAGCAAAGCCAGAGUCCCUACUCUCAAGGACAGCCCAGUCUAGAGAGGAAGACAGUUUCCUGGCUGUGUUGUGGUGAGACACACACCAAAGGGAGCUUGGGAACUUGAGGAAGAUGUCACCUAUUGGGGAGCACUCACUGUGUUCCAGACACUGAAUGAGAGCAUCUGUAUCUCUUCCACUUCUUAUUAAAGAAGCUGCUGAAAGCCAGAGUGGGAUGAGCCUCCUGCAACGACGUCCAGAUCCUCCCAGAAGUGACUUCUAGGCAGUGGCUGCCACCAUCCAUGAAUUAACGGAUCAUUGCCAUUUCUGUGGAAGAGUUUGUCCCAUGAGAACCACUGUACUGCACAUAGGCUGUUGCCCCCAGUUGCCUUAAACAAACAGAACCAUCUCCAGGAGGCUGUGCACUCCUUUGUAAGAGGUAAGUUCUGAAGAGGCAAGGAAGUAAGAAAGCAUAGGUUUGCAGAGGACGCUGCCCAUGGAGGCAGCUGGAGGAGGGAAAAGCAUAGUCCUCCAAACUGCCAUGAGGUUUGGAGGAGUAAUUAGCAUAAUUGUCAUUAUUCUGUGUUGCCUGAGCAAUGUGAAUGGGAUC